UAGCUUAUUGAAUUUUUAAUAAGUAUUUUCUGCCCGGUGAUUUUUUUAACGGCCGCGGUAUUUUGACCGUGCAAAGGUAGCAUAAUCAUUUGUUCUUUAAUUGAGGACUAGUAUGAAUGGAUUUUCGUAGAAAAAUUUGUCUCUUUUGAUUUUAUUGAAAUUUCUUUUAAAGUGAAGAAGCUUUAAUUUUUUAAAAAGACGAGAAGACCCUAUUGAGUUUUAUUUUUUAAAAAAAUUUCUUAUUUUUUGUUAAAUUUAGUUGGGGCAACUUAAGAGGAAUAUUAAUUCUCUUUUAUUUUAUUUUGAUCCAGUUUUAUUGAUAAAAAGAAUAAAUUACCAUAGGGAUAACAGCGUUAUUUAUUUAAAGAGUUCUUAUCGAUAAAUAAGAUUGCGACCUCGAUGUUGGACUAAAAUUUCCUAAUAGUGCAGAAGCUAUUAAUGGUAGGUCUGUUCGACCUUUAAAAUUUUACAUGAUCUGAGUUCAGACCGGCGUGAG
This 496-nucleotide ribosomal RNA is filed under the name Tubulanus sexlineatus. RNAcentral's name for it is "partial 16S ribosomal RNA". It matches the Rfam family "Bacterial large subunit ribosomal RNA", at positions 1830 to 2625 of the family's 2925-position model. Lineage: Eukaryota; Metazoa; Nemertea; Palaeonemertea; Tubulaniformes; Tubulanidae. The record is from RNAcentral.